AUUAGUAUCAUUCUUAUUUACAUGGGUGAGGCGAGCACUGAACUUUGAGGUAGAGGGCAGAAGACCGACAGGAAGGCCAAGGAAGAUGUGGAGAAAGGUGGAGGAGGGAGAGAUACGAGGAGGCUGAUCGUCACGGAAGAAAUGGCUGUGGACCGGCAACAGUGGAGGCGGCUCAUAAAUGGACGUUAAGCAAUGAUGAUGAUGGUGGUUGAUAGUGGUUGAAUGGGGUGACCGGGUGAGGGAUUUGAGUUGACGAGGAUGGUUAUGGAAAGGUGCGAAUUGUUGUAUAUGUAAAGAACGAUGGGUGAUAGGAGUAGAUACGAUAUUGGAAAGGUCUGAAUUGUUGUAUAUGUAAAGAACGAUGGGUGAUAGGAGUAGAUACGAUAUUGGAAAGGUCUGAAUUGUUGUAUAUGUAAAGAACGAUGGGUGAUAGGAGUAGAUACGAUAUUGGAAAGGUCUGAAUUGUUGUAUAUGUAAAGAACGAUGGGUGAUAGGAGUAGAUACGAUAUUGGAAAGGUCUGAAUUGUUGUAUAUGUAAAGAACGAUGGGUGAUAGGAGUAGAUACGAUAUUGGAAAGGUCUGAAUUGUUGUAUAUGUAAAGAACGAUGGGUGAUAGGAGUAGAUACGAUAUUGGAAAGGUCUGAAUUGUUGUAUAUGUAAAGAACGAUGGGUGAUAGGAGUAGAUACGAUAUUGGAAAGGUCUGAAUUGUUGUAUAUGUAAAGAACGAUGGGUGAUAGGAGUAGAUACGAUAUUGGAAAGGUCUGAAUUGUUGUAUAUGUAAAGAACGAUGGGUGAUAGGAGUAGAUACGAUAUUGGAAAGGUCUGAAUUGUUGUAUAUGUAAAGAACGAUGGAUGAUAGAUGUAGAUAGGAUAUACUAGUGUUUCAACCAUCAACUCUGGGAGAAAUUGAAGACAGAGGAAUCUAUAUCACAACAAUAUGGAAUAGAAGAAAAAAGAAAACUGGACAAGACUUAAAGACACAUUAAUGCCAAAGACAAGAAUUAGGACAAAGAAAAAAAGAAUGACAGAAAAAUGAAGAAAAAUAAGAAAGAAAACAAAGACAAAUAGAGAUAAGGAAACAAAACAAACCAGAAAACAAAGAAGACACAGAAUGAGAAAAAAAACAAACAAAACAA
Long non-coding RNA from Eriocheir sinensis (Chinese mitten crab), 1137 nucleotides. RefSeq lists it as uncharacterized. NCBI's taxonomy places the organism in Eukaryota, Metazoa, Arthropoda, Malacostraca, Decapoda, Varunidae. The record is from RefSeq and is a predicted model, not a curated record. The transcript has 4 exons.